Molecule: small RNA, 477 nt
Filed under: Pan troglodytes (chimpanzee)
Lineage: Eukaryota; Metazoa; Chordata; Mammalia; Primates; Hominidae
Description: sense overlapping
Source: RNAcentral
UUUUUUUUUUCGAGACAGCAGGCUGGAGUUCAGUGGCACAACCUCGGCUCACCGCAGCCUCUGCCUUUCAGGAGAAUCACUUGAGCCUGGGAGGCGGAUGUUACACUGAACUGAGAUCACGCCACUGCACUCUCUAGCCUGAUCAACAGAGCGAGACUCCAUCACAAAAAAAAAAAAAAAAAAAAAAUUAAAAAAGAGUUGGGUGCACCUGGAUCUAACCCCUGUCUCAUCCUUCUGCCUUGAAGGCCAAAUGCACCCUGAUACUUUUCACCAAAGAGUAGAAACAACACCAUCCACUUGACCCCAAAUGUGACUUUCCACAGGAUGCAAGCACAGUGUUGGAAUAGCCAAAGACAGUAACAAUAGAAGUGCAGGGUGAGGGUGAUGAACAGGACACACUGGAGAGCCUGACAUUGGCCUAGACUAUGGGGGUGUCUUGAUCCUUCACAAAGAGCCCAAGGAGCAACCCAAAGAGAC